This 408-nucleotide ribosomal RNA is filed under the name uncultured bacterium. Its description in RNAcentral is "partial 16S ribosomal RNA". It matches the Rfam family "Bacterial small subunit ribosomal RNA", at positions 28 to 526 of the family's 1533-position model. The record is from RNAcentral.
GACGAACGCUGGCGGCGUGCUUAACACAUGCAAGUCGAACGAAGUGGCGAACGGGUGAGUAACGCGUAAUACACCUGCCCUUCAGAGGGGGACAACAGUUGGAAACGACUGCUAAUCCCGCAUACUGAAGGUGGGGAUUGCGUUUGAUUAGCUAGUUGGGGGGGUAACGGCCCACCAAGGCGAUGAUCAGUAGCCGGUCUGAGGAGAUGAACGGCCACAAUGGGACUGGAACACGGCCCAGACUCCUACGGGGGGCAGCAGGUGGGAAUCUUCCGCAAUGGACGGAAGGCUGACGGAGCAACGCCGCGUGAGUGGUGACGGCCUUUGGGUUGGAAAGCUCUGUUAAUCGGGGCGCGGUACCGGAAUAGAAAGCCACGGCUAACUACGUGCCAGCAGCCGCGGUAAUUC